RNAcentral lists this small nucleolar RNA (71 nucleotides) under Cyclopterus lumpus (lumpfish). RNAcentral describes it as "Small nucleolar RNA SNORD61 (ENSCLMG00005010038.1)". It matches the Rfam family "Small nucleolar RNA SNORD61". From Rfam's summary of the family: U61 belongs to the C/D class of snoRNA which contain the C (UGAUGA) and D (CUGA) box motifs. Lineage: Eukaryota; Metazoa; Chordata; Actinopteri; Perciformes; Cyclopteridae. The record is from Rfam by way of RNAcentral.
GCAGUGAUGAUAUUUUUGGUUUUGAUCAGCAAUGAAAAGAAACUACCAUUCCUCUAAGAAGUUCUGAGCUC